Molecule: long non-coding RNA, 1434 nt
Organism: Oncorhynchus tshawytscha (Chinook salmon)
Lineage: Eukaryota; Metazoa; Chordata; Actinopteri; Salmoniformes; Salmonidae
Source: Ensembl
AGCCAAUCAGUUUUGUUGUGACAAGGUAGGGGUGGUAUACAGAAGAUAGCCCUAUUUGGUAAAAGAAGUAAGCAAAGAGAAACGACAGUCCAUCCUUACUUUAAGACCUGAGGAUCAGUCAAUCUGGAAAAUUUCAAGAACUUUGAAAGUUUCUUCAAGUGCAGUCACAAAAACCAUCAAGCACUAUGAUGAAGCUGGCUCUCAUGAGGACUGCCACAGGAAAGGAAGACCCAGAGUUACCUCUGCUGCAGAGGAUGAGUUCAUUAGAGUUAACUGCACCUCAGAUUGCAGCCCAAAUAAAUGCAUCACAGAGUUCAAGUAACAGACACAUCUCAACAUCAACUGUUCAGAGGAGACUGCGUAAAUCAGGCCUUCAUGGUCAAAUUGCUGCAAAGAAAACACUACUAAAGGACACCAAUAUGAAGAAGAGACUUGCACCGGCCAAGAAACACGAGCAAUGUACAUUAGACCAGUGAAAAUCUGUCCUUUGGUCUUUUUGGUUCCAACCACUAUAUCUUUGUGAGAUGCAGAGUAGGUGAGUGGAUGAUCUCCGCAUGUGUGGUUCCCACCGUGAAGCAUGGAGGAGGACAAUGACCCAAAACACACCUCCAGGCUGCUCUGUCUGUACACGUUGCUAACGUGUGUGGGAGGUCUAUGGCAGAGUGGGAUGGUAGACCCAAACUCUCACUGCGACGGUUCUUCUCCUUCGUUGGGCUGCACAGUGUGGGCAGGCUGGUGAAGGGAGGGUGCUCCAGCAGCAUGGAACAGCUCAGUAUCUCAGCGCCUCUGGCCAGCUCCGCCCCACCCACAGGCUUCACCCCAACGCCUGCCAGCAGACGACCCCCUCACGACAGGCACUGUGCACAGUAAGCACCAGUCCUUCAAUUCAGGUGUCCCCACUGGCCCAGCUUCGUAAGCCUCCUCUGUGCAGAGUCUGGAGAGGAGAGUGGAGCGUUCAACCAUUCUGGGAGAGGUGCCCGUGCCUUAAAGCCUGGCACCCAGGUGUGUAUGUGGAGCAGGUAGGGGACGGUUCCUGGGCGCUGAGGGGGAUGAGAUCCUGGAGGUGAAUGGGGAGGCGGUGGCUGGACUGACCCUGGAUCAGGUGUCAGGUCUCAUGACACGCAACAGCACCGCCUCUAUCCAUAUAUCCUGCCACUCGUCGGAACCAGCGAUGAGCAAUGCAAUACUGGAAUAUUCCAUUAUCCAUUUCAAUAAAUUAAAAAACACUGGACACUGCCCUGUGAUGAUGUCAUGACAAAAACACGAGAAUGGAAAUAAGCAAGCAUAAUGAGAGAUUUUUUUUAACUCUGGGAGAACCAAAGGAAGGACAUAAUCAACCUAAUUAUAUUUGUCCAUUAUUAGGCCUAGUCUUUGAAGAUUCCCUCAAAUGUAACUACCGGUCAAUCAAAACUGAUGACAAAUAAAACAGAGAAA